UUUAAUUUCGUAUUAAAACCGACAUUAAAGCCCAACAACCGACAUUAAGGCCCUUUAAUGUCGAUUUUAAACCGAUAUUAAAGGUCAAAUUUCUUGUAGUGUAGACGGUAAGACCCUAUGCACCUUUACUAUGGCGUCGCAAUGACAACCUUGAUCGAAUGUGUAGGAUAGGUGGGAGGUGGUGACACACAACGACCAAUCCUAAAAGACCACUCUUUCGUCUAAGGAUGCCUAACCGCUGCACCGAAUUUUUGAGGGGGGCGAAACACUGCAAGGUGCAUAGUUUAUCGGGGCAGAUGCCUCCUAAAGAGUAACGGAGGUGUGCGAAGGUAGGCUCAAGCUCAGAUCCUACUCAUGAGCGUAAUGGCAUAAACCUGCCUGACUUUGAGACCCACUAGUCGAACAGAGAUGAAAGUUGGCCAUAGUGAUCAAAGAGUUCUGUGUUGAAGGCUCUCGCUCAAGAGCUCUUAUUAACCGAGUCAUUUGGCACCUCGAUGUUGACUCAUCACAUUCUGGGGUUGAAGAAGGUCCAAAGGUUCGGUCGUUCACCGAUGAAAGUGGUACGUGAGUUGGAUUUAGAACAUCGUGAGACAGCUCGGUUACGAUCUACCGUUGGUGUGAAAGGGAGAAUUACGAGGAGCCAACCCUAGUACGAGAAGACUGGUUUGGGGCAACCUAUGGUGUACCAGUUGUUAAGCCAAUAGCAACACCAGGCAGCUAGGUUGGUACGGAAGAAUCGCUGUGUCGCGAGAAAUCCUUCUCUAUACAAGUUCUCAGACGAGGUUUUUGAACAUCACCUCGAUAGGCAAGAGGUGUAAGCACCGCAAGGUGUUCAGCGAUCUUGUACUAAACGAAAGAACUUGCACU
RNAcentral lists this non-coding RNA (867 nucleotides) under Cucumis melo (muskmelon). Its description in RNAcentral is "Bacterial large subunit ribosomal RNA". It matches the Rfam family "Bacterial large subunit ribosomal RNA", at positions 1971 to 2925 of the family's 2925-position model. Lineage: Eukaryota; Viridiplantae; Streptophyta; Magnoliopsida; Cucurbitales; Cucurbitaceae. The record is from Rfam by way of RNAcentral. RNAcentral also lists the same sequence under 1 other name.